CCUACGGGGGGCUGCAGUGGGGAAUCUUCCGCAAUGGACGAAAGUCUGACGGAGCAACGCCGCGUGAGUGAAGAAGGUUUUAGGAUCGUAAAGCUCUGUUGAGAGGGACGAGAAGCAAGGCAAGGAAAUGUGCUUUGUAGGACGGUACCUUUCGAGGAAGCCACGGCUAACUACGUGCCAGCAGCCGCGGUAAUACGUAGGUGGCGAGCGUUGUCCGGAAUUAUUGGGCGUAAAGGGAGCGCAGGUGGGAAAGUAAGUCUGCUUUAAAAGUUCGGGGCUCAACCCCGUGAUGGAGUGGAAACUACUUUUCUUGAGUGCAGGAGAGGAAAGCGGAAUUCCUAGUGUAGCGGUGAAAUGCGUAGAUAUUAGGAGGAACACCAGUGGCGAAGGCGGCUUUCUGGACUGUAACUGACACUGAGGCUCGAAAGCCAGGGGAGCGAACGGGAUUAGAUACCCCAGUAGUC
Molecule: ribosomal RNA, 464 nt
Filed under: uncultured Veillonellaceae bacterium
Lineage: Bacteria; Bacillati; Bacillota; Negativicutes; Veillonellales; Veillonellaceae
Description: bacterial SSU rRNA
Rfam family: Bacterial small subunit ribosomal RNA
Source: RNAcentral